GCGGGGGAUAGAAUGUUCAUGGCUCAUGUUUUUUACGGGAGUCUUCGGCGCGAAUGCAGGGCGCUGAGGCCGUGCGGGUCCGGCCUCUCGCC
This 92-nucleotide transfer RNA is filed under the name Rubrobacter xylanophilus. Its description in RNAcentral is "tRNA-Val". The record is from RNAcentral. Lineage: Bacteria; Bacillati; Actinomycetota; Rubrobacteria; Rubrobacterales; Rubrobacteraceae.